Molecule: unclassified non-coding RNA, 188 nt
Filed under: soil metagenome
Description: partial internal transcribed spacer 1
Source: RNAcentral
CAAUAAGAGUGUUUAUGGCACUCUUCAAAAAAUCCAUACCCACCUUGUGUGCAACGUAAGAAGAAAAAAAGAAGAUGCGAGUCAUGGGGAAACCCAAGUCUUGCUCCCUUUCUUUUUUCUUUUCCACAUACACCUUUCUAUUAGUUCCUAUUGCCUGAAGCUGUUAGAGAAUGACUAAUUCUUAAACA